UACGUAGGGGGCUAGCGUUGUCCGGAAUCAUUGGGCGUAAAGAGCGUGUAGGCGGCUCAGUAAGUCCGCUGUGAAAGUCCAGGGCUCAACCCUGGAAUGCCAGUGGAAACUGUUGAGCUAGAGUCCGGAAGAGGCGAGUGGAAUUCCUGGUGUAGCGGUGAAAUGCGCAGAUAUCAGGAGGAACACCAAUGGCGAAGGCAGCUCGCUGGGACGGUACUGACGCUGGAGACGCGAAAGCGUGGGGGGCAAACAGG
Molecule: ribosomal RNA, 254 nt
Filed under: uncultured bacterium
Lineage: Bacteria
Description: partial 16S ribosomal RNA
Rfam family: Bacterial small subunit ribosomal RNA
Source: RNAcentral